RNAcentral lists this ribosomal RNA (341 nucleotides) under uncultured Lachnospiraceae bacterium. RNAcentral's name for it is "bacterial SSU rRNA". It matches the Rfam family "Bacterial small subunit ribosomal RNA", at positions 28 to 339 of the family's 1533-position model. The record is from RNAcentral. Lineage: Bacteria; Bacillati; Bacillota; Clostridia; Lachnospirales; Lachnospiraceae.
GAUGAACGCUGGCGGCGUGCCUAACACAUGCAAGUCGAACGGAGUUGCUUCUACCCGACAGAUCAUCUUCGGAUGUGAAGUCACCUGAAGCGCUUAGUGGCGGACGGGUGAGUAACGCGUGGGCAACCUGCCCUGCACAGGGGGAUAGCGGUUGGAAACGACCGGUAAUACCGCAUACCUUGACGAUACCGCAUGGUAAUGUCAAGAAAACGUUUAGUGGUGCAGGAUGGGCCCGCGUCCGAUUAGUUAGUUGGUGGGGUAACGGCCUACCAAGACGACGAUCGGUAGCCGACCUGAGAGGGCGGACGGCCACAUUGGGACUGAGACACGGCCCAGACUCC